UNUGCCAGAGAGCUUAGGAAGUCUGAAGCA
Molecule: non-coding RNA, 30 nt
Filed under: Rattus norvegicus (Norway rat)
Lineage: Eukaryota; Metazoa; Chordata; Mammalia; Rodentia; Muridae
Source: RNAcentral